This 30-nucleotide non-coding RNA is filed under the name Mus musculus (house mouse). Lineage: Eukaryota; Metazoa; Chordata; Mammalia; Rodentia; Muridae. The record is from RNAcentral.
UGAUGAAAUUGUGUGGCUGCGAUGCCGAUU